RNAcentral lists this ribosomal RNA (255 nucleotides) under uncultured bacterium. RNAcentral describes it as "partial 16S ribosomal RNA". It matches the Rfam family "Bacterial small subunit ribosomal RNA", at positions 524 to 776 of the family's 1533-position model. The record is from RNAcentral.
UACGUAGGGUGCGAGCGCUUGUCCGGAAUUACUGGGCGUAAAGCGCGUGUAGGCGGUUCGGUAAGUCCGCUGUGAAAGUCGGGGGCUCAACCCUCGAAAGCCGGUGGAUACUGCCGGACUAGAGUCCGGAAGAGGCGAGUGGAAUUCCCGGUGUAGCGGUGAAAUGCGCAGAUAUCGGGAGGAACACCAAUGGCGAAGGCAGCUCGCUGGGACGGUACUGACGCUGAGACGCGAAAGCGUGGGGGAGCAAACAGG